RNAcentral lists this ribosomal RNA (301 nucleotides) under uncultured bacterium. RNAcentral's name for it is "partial 16S ribosomal RNA". It matches the Rfam family "Bacterial small subunit ribosomal RNA", at positions 509 to 807 of the family's 1533-position model. The record is from RNAcentral.
CAGCAGCCGCGGGAAUACGAAGGGUGCAAGCGUUAAUCGGAAUUACUGGGCGUAAAGCGUGCGUAGGCGGUGAGUUAAGUCUGCUGUGAAAUCCCCGGGCUCAACCUGGGAAUGGCAAUGGAUACUGGCAAGCUAGAGUGUGUCAGAGGAUGGUGGAAUUCCCGGUGUAGCGGUGAAAUGCGUAGAGAUCGGGAGGAACAUCAGUGGCGAAGGCGGCCAUCUGGGACAACACUGACGCUGAGGCACGAAAGCGUGGGGAGCAAACAGGAUUAGUUACCCCUGUAGUCCCUGUCUCUUAUAC